RNAcentral lists this ribosomal RNA (206 nucleotides) under uncultured bacterium. RNAcentral describes it as "partial 16S ribosomal RNA". It matches the Rfam family "Bacterial small subunit ribosomal RNA", at positions 568 to 774 of the family's 1533-position model. The record is from RNAcentral.
AGCGCAGACGGUUGAUUAAGCCUGAUGUGAAAGCCCGGAGCUCAACUCCGGAAUGGCAUUGGAAACUGGUUAACUUGAGUGCAGUAGAGGUAAGUGGAACUCCAUGUGUAGCGGUGGAAUGCGUAGAUAUAUGGAAGAACACCAGUGGCGAAGGCGGCUUACUGGACGGUAACUGACGUUGAGGCUCGAAAGCGUGGGAGCAAACA